AUAUAUAUAUAUAUAUAACAGUUGCUUUAAUUUGGUGACAUUUUCAAAAGUAGUGCUUCAAACUAUUACUAACAGACAAUCCUGGUGCUUCAGAGAGAAUUGGCCACAUGCCUAUUUUGCGUUCCUGCUUCUUUAGUAUUUGAUCUGUGAAUUGAUUCGAUGAUUGUGAAAAGUGUUGUAACUUCCAUUGUCUUUAGUGGUGGGAGGAGUGCAAGACAACUUAGAGGCCCUAGUUUUAUAGGGCCAGAGUUUGCACGCUGUGAUGUGUGAUGAGGACUUGUGGAUUAGAGUAUCCUGGGGGAAUCUUUUAAGUUAUUCAUCUCAAUAUCAGCUUUAAAAUGUUUUCCAGCUUCCUCCUUUUAUUUCACAGGCUAGUCUUGAUUAAAAAUCAAAUAAAUUAACAUUCUGAGGAAAACUUUUUUUUUUAGUAAUUAAUUAAUCAAGAUUUGUUUUAAUGCUAUUUAAAGUUAAAAGUUUGAAAACAGAAGACAUCAAAAUCAAGUCAAACCUAAUCAACUUUAAUGAUGAUGGAUGUUUUGAAUGCUCACUUAACAGCUUGAAAAUAAGCAGUUUGUAGCUUUUCAUACACAUGUAGCAUUUGAAUUGGAUCGAGCUCUUUGCCUUAGUUGGACCUUUACAAACCCUACAGCGAGAGACAAAAUGAAAGAGACGAAGCGUUUUAGAAUUGAAAAAGGUUGAAUUCGGUCUUCCUUUUUCCAUUUAGAGGAACAUUUUACCUCUAAAUGUUUUUAGCAGGCAAAGCAGUUUGUAAUUCUAUAGUUUGUGGAUUUGGGUAAUUCUAAGAAAACAGAGAAUUUUAAAGCUGAGGGAGGCAUUGCACUGCUCCAAGGAAAAAAUUAAAAGUCAUGAAUUCCUGAAAAAAAAAAAGAAGUCUGAGAUUGAAGUGGUGAAUUUACAAGAGGGGGAAAAAAGUGGCGGUGGUGAGGAGGGACUUCAAAUUCAGACCAGAGACGACACCACCUGCUGGUUCAUGCCUGCAGUGGAUCACGUAAUCAAAGAAUUACCUUCUCAUUAUAAACCUCUGCACUUUGAAGACACUCACCCAUGAAUCAGGCCUGUUCAAAUGAAAACAACAUACAGAUUGAGAUGAUGUGAUAGUUGUUAUCACAGACCAGCAGUCUGUAAUAUGACCACUUCUUACCAAAACUUUUUUUUUUUCUCCUAAAAUAACUACUUUAAUCUCGGACAGCAUACUGUUUUUUUUUUUGUUUUUGUUUUUUUUAAUCCCAAAUUAGUUUUUAAUGUCAUGAUUUUAAGCUUUGUUUUGUUUUUGGUUUUGUUUUGUUUUUUUCUUCAAAAUGAUAAGUCUUCCACAGCUUCAUAUUCUUAAAUUUUACCUUACCUAGAAUUGCAUUGCGAAAGUGAAAGUGUGUGUGUGUGUGUGUGUGUGUGUGUGUUUGUGUGUGUGUGUGUGCUGAGGUUGGUGUAGUUUGGCAUCAAUCAUAUGAAAUUUAUAGCAGCAGGUAGUGUGGUUUCUCAUUUUUAGAGCGCUCCUUUGAAUGAUUCAGGUUACACACUUGAAAGACUGUUGCGGUCACUGAUGGGGGCAUUGGAUUCAGGCGGUGUUAGUCUAAUAAAGCACAGCACUUUCUUUCCCAACACCCCCAGCGUGUGCGAGGUCCAUCCUGCUUUGUCUGUACCCCUGGGCUCACAGUUUCCACGUGCAUGGUGAGAUCAUCUGUCAUUAGCCUUCAGGUAGCCUUAUUUCCACCCUCAGGCUUCAGGCAUGCUUUGUUAGCAGCUUGAGGCCGGCAGAGAUGAUCCACCGCACUUGCUAAAAUGAAUACUCUGGACUGCACCAGAUUGAGCUGGGGGGGUCACGUGGCCUGUUUUUAAAUAGUCAAGUGUGACCUCAGCUAGGAUAACAACUACUGAGAAAAUGCUAGCAUUAAAAACUAAUGAAUGUAUCAAGAUGGAAAGUUGGUCUAGUGGCCUAUUUACAGUUUUGCCUCAGAUUGUUUUUCCUGAUGCAGGAUGACGUUUUGAUCUUGUUCUGGGUCGAUCGCAUAUUAAAAUCUUGGGAACAUCGUUGAAUAGAUAUGUAAAUAUUAACUGCUCCUUUUUUUUUUUUUUUGGUCUUUUUUUGUUUUGUCUUUUUGUCUAGAAGCCUCCAUAUCCAGAUAAACCGCUGUCACUCCCCUGUACAUGAAACAAAGUUGUAAAUGGUGUCAAUAACAAAGUUUCUUUUUUAAGAGAGGUUUUAAAAAGAGGUUUAUGGUAACACUAUUUUCUUUUCCCUGUUUAAUUUCUGAUGUAUAUGAACGAUGUGUAAUAUAGAAAAUGCCACCUUAAUAAAUUAAAUAAAAAAUGUG
Molecule: long non-coding RNA, 2333 nt
Organism: Oreochromis niloticus (Nile tilapia)
Lineage: Eukaryota; Metazoa; Chordata; Actinopteri; Cichliformes; Cichlidae
Exons: 2
Source: RefSeq, a predicted model, not a curated record